Molecule: ribosomal RNA, 253 nt
Filed under: uncultured bacterium
Lineage: Bacteria
Description: partial 16S ribosomal RNA
Rfam family: Bacterial small subunit ribosomal RNA
Source: RNAcentral
UACAGGGGGGGCAAGCGUUGUUCGGAAUUACUGGGCGUAAAGGGCUCGUAGGUGGCCAACUAAGUCGGACGUGAAAUCCCUCGGCUUAACCGGGGAACUGCGUCUGAUACUGGAUGGCUUGAGUGUGGGAGAGGGAUGCGGAAUUCCAGGUGUAGCGGUGAAAUGCGUAGAUAUCUGGAGGAACACCGGUGGCGAAGGCGGCCUUCUGGACAGUGACUGACGCUGAGACGCGAAAGCGUGGGGAGCAAACAGG